CCUACGGGCGGCAGCAGUGGGAAUUUUGCGCAAUGCUCGUAAGAGUGACGCAGCGACGCCGCGUGAAUGACGAAGGCCUUCGGGUCGUAAAGUUCUUUCGACAGGGAAGAAAAUGCCCAUAAGUAACUGUGUAUGUAUUGACGGUAACUGGAUAAGCCGCCCCGGCCAACUGCGGGCCAGCAGCCGCGGUAAUACGGAGGGGGCGAGCGUUGUUCGGAGUGGCCGGGCGUAAAGAGCACGUAGGCGGUGUUGUACGUCAUUAGUCCAAGACUAGAGCUCAACUUUAGUAAGGCUAGUGAUACUAUAAUACUAGCGUAUCAGAGAGGAUUGCAGAAUUCCUGGUGUAGCGGUGAAAUGCGUAGAUAUCAGGAGGAAUACCGUUAGCGAAGGCGGCAAUCUGGCUGGAAACUGACGCUGAGGUGCGAAAGCGUGGAUAGCAAACAGGAUUAGAUACCCUUGUAGUC
This 464-nucleotide ribosomal RNA is filed under the name uncultured bacterium. Its description in RNAcentral is "partial 16S ribosomal RNA". It matches the Rfam family "Bacterial small subunit ribosomal RNA", at positions 338 to 795 of the family's 1533-position model. The record is from RNAcentral.